ACAAACGCAUAUCCCCUGUUUCUUUUAAACUUUAAAACCCCACACCACUAUUUAUCAUCUUUUCUGAUUUCUAAAAAAAAGCCACUGAGUCAUGUUCGAGUAGUACCGAGUUAAUGAGUCGAGUUGUGUUUAGCUCUAAGUCAUCUGUUGAAUUCGAGCCUGUUUUGUUUUCAUCGAGCCACACCACCGAGUAGCAGUUUGUUUUGCGAUCUUGUUGUUCUGUAGAAUUCUGUUUGCUGCACUACCGAGUCAUCUACGUUGAUUGUUGCUGGGUGUAGUUGUUUGGUUUGUUUUGUGAAUGUUGAGUAGAGUUUGCAUCAACACUACCGAGUUGUGCACUGAGUCGAGUCUGAGUCAUUGGGUCGUUGUCUGUUUAUGAAACUGAGUUCUACCUUGUUCUCGAUUUACCUUGCUGGGUUUCGUUUGUUUUUAUUGUUUUGAUUAUUGCUGAGUUGUUGGGUUGUUUGAUUUUGCUCUACUACUGUAGUUUUGUUUCAGUCGAGUUCUGUCAAGUCUAUGUGAGUCCGUUUGUUUUACUUGUAAACCGAGUUGUAUGCCUUUUGUUGAGUAAAUAGGAGUUCUGUUACCUAAGUAGUUCUUUUUGCCGAGUUGUUGGAUUGAACCGAGUCACUGGGGCUGGGUCUUGAAUUAGUCUGCUACUGUGCUUCGCUGAGUUGUGUUACUCUUUUUGCUUGAUUAGUUUGAGUCACAGAUUAAGUAUUUGGUUGAUUUUGUUGGUUUGAAAAGAUGUUGUGAUUUGGUGAUUCUAAUAUUGUUCGAUUUAUGAAUUGAUUUUGUUAAUUGGCUAGUUUAGUUUUCAAAAGAGUCCUGUCAAAAUUUUCUCUAAUUCUUAAAAUUUAUUUUUAAUUUUUAGUUUAAUUUAAUCUCUAGUUUUUGAGUAAUUUAAUUUAGAAUAAUUAAUUAGUUAAAUUUUCGAUAACUGAUACUCCCUCCGUCGCAGGCAUUUCUAUACAGUUUCCUUUUUGGGGUGUCCCAUCAUUUCUAUACAUUCCAAAAAUAGUAACUUUUAAUAAUAUAAAACACUAUCACACCAACUACUUUCUCCCACUAUCUUCAUUUUAUAAUAAUAUAAACACAAUUACACCCACUACUUCCCUCCACUAUCACAAAUCUAUAAUUAAAUACAAAUGGGUCCCGCCACUUUACCCACUUUUCAUCUAACUUUACUCAUUUUUUUUACACUUUUUCUUGGUCUCCGUGUCUACACUAAAUGUAUAUAAUCUAUUGGGACGGAGGGAGUAAUUAAUCAGAUUAGUUAAUUUGAAAAUCUUAGAUUUGAUUUAGAAAAACCCAUCUCCACUAAUCAUAUUGUUCUAAUUCGUCUAGAUUAGAAAAAAUAGGUAGCAAUCCUUGUGGUUCGAAUCUAAAAACACUAAAACGAGAUUGUGCGCUUGCGAUAUUGAAAAUUAUAUGUUUAGCACAUCAAAUUUUUGGCGCCGCAGCCGAGGAUUAUAAUAUAUUUUUCGCACCUUUAUUUUUAAUCAUUCAAAUUAGUUUAUUUCUCACUUUUUAUUGUUAUCUCGUGGAAUUUGGAAGAAUAUUCAGAAUCAAGGAUUAAGGUGGACAAUUUGCUUGGAAUUUUGGAAGCUUUGCUUUGAUAACCGUAUCGAUCUCCACUUGUCUAUAUUUGGGAAAACACAAAAAAUCUGAAAAUUGAAAAACAAAAACAAAUUGAAAAUUUAAAAUUCAAAAGUAUUAGAUAGAAAGAGGGCUACUCUAGUGAGAACUUUAAAUGGUGAGAACUGGAUACUGGGCUUAAAACAACUAGAUAUUGGCUUUAAAAUUAGGAACAGAAUUAGGCCCAUUAACGUAACCAUUCUAAACAUCGCGGUUUUAACAAACCAUUACCCACUCGAACUGUCACUAGCAAAUCACCCCCAAAUUACCCACCCAACCUGUCAAUCAGCGUGUUUUGCUGCUGAACGUUGCUGAACUCUGCUCAACGUUGCUGAAAUUGUUCUUGCAAAUUUCAUGCUUAGAUGACACAAACAUAUCUCGAGCAUUAAAAAAUUUGUUUCACUAAGUGAAAGGGAAGCAAGGUCUUUCCUGUAUAAAUUUGCAUAUGGCAGAUGGGAUAGAGAGCACAACUUCAAUGAUUAAGGGUGAAAUACUCAAAUGCAAUCCUUACACCUCACUUGAAUGAAUACAAAGAGAUUGAACCAAAGCGGGCAAAAGGUUUCUACAAAAAGAUUGCAAACAAGACACUCAUGUCCAUUCACUUGCAUCAAGUUCAAAGAAACCCAAGAACACAGAGAUUCAUGGAAAUGUUAUAUUUCCAGACAUUGAAACAGAACAUGAAGAAGCAUGAUGAAGUACCGGCUG
This is a long non-coding RNA of Daucus carota subsp. sativus, 2343 nucleotides long. RefSeq lists it as uncharacterized. The transcript is spliced from 4 exons. NCBI's taxonomy places the organism in Eukaryota, Viridiplantae, Streptophyta, Magnoliopsida, Apiales, Apiaceae. The record is from RefSeq and is a predicted model, not a curated record.